Molecule: small nucleolar RNA, 96 nt
Filed under: Triticum urartu
Lineage: Eukaryota; Viridiplantae; Streptophyta; Magnoliopsida; Poales; Poaceae
Description: Small nucleolar RNA SNORD25
Rfam family: Small nucleolar RNA SNORD25
About the family: U25 is a member of the C/D class of snoRNA which contain the C (UGAUGA) and D (CUGA) box motifs.
Source: Rfam by way of RNAcentral
GACAGCUGUGAUGAGCCCAUUUUACAGUUACAGACCUGUAAUGACUCCUGUGGAAAUGAUCGCAUGGUCGAAGAACAUCUAAGGGACUGAGUUGUU